This 480-nucleotide ribosomal RNA is filed under the name uncultured bacterium. RNAcentral's name for it is "bacterial SSU rRNA". It matches the Rfam family "Bacterial small subunit ribosomal RNA", at positions 28 to 534 of the family's 1533-position model. The record is from RNAcentral.
GACGAACGCUGGCGGCGUGCCUAACACAUGCAAGUCGAACGAAGCAUAGCAAUAUGCUUAGUGGCGGACGGGUGAGUAACGCGUGAACAAUCUGCCCUGUACAAAGGAAUAGCCUCGGGAAACCGGGAUUAAAACCGUAUGACACUUUAGUAUCGCAUGAUAAGAAAGUCAAAUCGAAUAGAGGUAUGGGAUGAGUUCGCGUCUGAUUAGCUGGUUGGCGGGGUAACGGCCCACCAAGGCGACGAUCAGUAGCCGGCCUGAGAGGGUGAACGGCCACACUGGAACUGAGACACGGUCCAGACUCCUACGGGAGGCAGCAGUGGGGAAUAUUGCACAAUGGAGGGAACUCUGAUGCAGCGACGCCGCGUGAGUGAAGAAGGUCUUCGGAUCGUAAAACUCUGUCCUUGGUGAAGAAAGGACGGUAGCCAAGGAGGAAGCCCCGGCUAACUACGUGCCAGCAGCCGCGGUAAACGUAGCGUG